Molecule: small nucleolar RNA, 135 nt
Organism: Ornithorhynchus anatinus (platypus)
Lineage: Eukaryota; Metazoa; Chordata; Mammalia; Monotremata; Ornithorhynchidae
Product: small nucleolar RNA SNORA70
Exons: 1
Source: RefSeq, a predicted model, not a curated record
CCGCAGUCAAUUAAGCCGACCGGCCCUUGUCUCCAUCAGGGGUCGGUGUGCAAUGGCUGCGGACAGCAGUCCUCCCUGGUUGUGUAUGCUCCCCGUUCCCUGUACGGGGUGCUCUAAGGGACCUUGGAGACAUCC